AACGAACGCUGGCGGCAGGCUUAACACAUGCAAGUCGAACGCCCCGCAAGGGGAGUGGCAGACGGGUGAGUAACGCGUGGGAACAUACCCUUUCCUGCGGAAUAGCUCUGGGAAACUGGAAUUAAUACCGCAUACGCCCUACGGGGGAAAGAUUUAUCGGGGAAGGAUUGGCCCGCGUUGGAUUAGCUAGUUGGUGGGGUAAAGGCCUACCAAGGCGACGAUCCAUAGCCGGUCUGAGAGGAUGAUCAGCCACAUUGGACUGAGACACGGCCCAAACUCCUACGGGAGGCAGCAGUGGGGAAUAUUGGACAAUGGGCGCAAGCCUGAUCCAGCCGUGCCGCGUGAGUGAUGAAGGCCUUAGGGUUGUAAAGCUCUUUCACCGAUGAAGAUAAUGACGGUAGUCGGAAAAGAAGCCCCGGCUAACUUCGUGCCAGCCGCCGCGGUAA
This 446-nucleotide ribosomal RNA is filed under the name uncultured bacterium. RNAcentral describes it as "partial 16S ribosomal RNA". It matches the Rfam family "Bacterial small subunit ribosomal RNA", at positions 29 to 523 of the family's 1533-position model. The record is from RNAcentral.